CCUACGGGAGGCUGCAGUGAGGAAUAUUGGUCAAUGGGCGCGAGCCUGAACCAGCCAAGUAGCGUGAAGGAUGACUGCCCUACGGGUUGUAAACUUCUUUUAUAAAGGAAUAAAGUGAGGCACGUGUGCCUUUUUGUAUGUACUUUAUGAAUAAGGAUCGGCUAACUCCGUGCCAGCAGCCGCGGUAAUACGGAGGAUCCGAGCGUUAUCCGGAUUUAUUGGGUUUAAAGGGAGCGUAGAUGGGUUGUUAAGUCAGUUGUGAAAGUUUGCGGCUCAACCGUAAAAUUGCAAUUGAUACUGGCAGCCUUGAGUACAGUUGAGGUAGGCGGAAUGCGUGGUGUAGCGGUGAAAUGCUUAGAGAUCACGAAGAACUCCGAUUGCGAAGGCAGCCUACUAAGCUGCCACUGACAUUGAGGCACGAAAGUGUGGGUAGCAAACAGGAUUAGAUACCCGAGUAGUC
RNAcentral lists this ribosomal RNA (460 nucleotides) under uncultured bacterium. Its description in RNAcentral is "partial 16S ribosomal RNA". It matches the Rfam family "Bacterial small subunit ribosomal RNA", at positions 338 to 795 of the family's 1533-position model. The record is from RNAcentral.